UGGACUAAAGAAAACGGCGCAAACGGGCGCAGAUGAUUAUUAGGAGUUGAUCGGAAGUUGGUUUGUGAUUUUGGAUAGCGUUUUAGCGAAUUAUUGCGUGCUUUUAUUACUGUUAGAGUUAUAGGUCUCUGAAAAAUGACUUCAAGAAAGUUUUUUGUUGGUGUGGAGGCGGCUUUGGAGGAGUUUGAUCGGAUGUCCGACACUGAAACUUGCAGCGAGGCUAGCUAGCUUUGACUCGGUCAGAGAAGCUGCUUACAAACUGGGAGAAGACCCUGAUUUUGAUUGUAGCAUCCAGUGGUGAAGAAUGGGAGCCAGCAAGUCAGGAUACUUAUUUUGUGUGUGUGUGUGUGUGUGU
Long non-coding RNA from Carassius auratus (goldfish), 355 nucleotides. RefSeq lists it as uncharacterized. Lineage: Eukaryota; Metazoa; Chordata; Actinopteri; Cypriniformes; Cyprinidae. The transcript is spliced from 2 exons. The record is from RefSeq and is a predicted model, not a curated record.